GACGAACGCUGGCGGCGUGCUUAACACAUGCGAGUCGAACGGAAAGGCCCUGCUUUUGUGGGGUGCUCGAGUGGCGAACGGGUGAGUAACACGUGAGUAACCUGCCCUUGACUUUGGGAUAACUUCAGGAAACUGGGGCUACUACCGGAUAGGAGCUCCUGCUGCAUGGUGGGGGUUGGAAAGUUUCGGCGGUUGGGGAUGGACUCGCGGUUUAUCAGCUUGUUGGUGGGGUAGUGGCUUACCAAGGCUUUGACGGGUAGCCGGCCUGAGAGGGUGACCGGCCACAUGGGGACUGAGAGACGGCCCAGACUCCUACGGGGGGCAGCGGGGGGGAAUAUGGCACAAUGGGCGGAAGCCUGAGGCAGCAACGCCGCGUGCGGGAUGACGGCCUUCGGGUUGUAAACCGCUUUCGCCUGUGACGAAGCGGGAGUGACGGUAAUGGGUAAAGAAGCACCGGCUAACUACGUG
Molecule: ribosomal RNA, 468 nt
Filed under: uncultured bacterium
Lineage: Bacteria
Description: partial 16S ribosomal RNA
Rfam family: Bacterial small subunit ribosomal RNA
Source: RNAcentral